UACGUAGGGUGCGAGCGUUGUCCGGAAUUACUGGGCGUAAAGCGCUCGUAGGUGGUUUGUCGCGUUGUUCGUGAAAACUCACAGCUUAACUGUGGGCGUGCGGGCGAUACGGGCAGACUGGAGUACUGCAGGGGAGACUGGAAUUCCUGGUGUAGCGGUGGAAUGCGCAGAUAUCAGGAGGAACACCGGUGGCGAAGGCGGGUCGCUGGGCAGUAACUGACGCUGAGGAGCGAAAGCGUGGGGAGCAAACAGG
RNAcentral lists this ribosomal RNA (253 nucleotides) under uncultured bacterium. RNAcentral's name for it is "partial 16S ribosomal RNA". It matches the Rfam family "Bacterial small subunit ribosomal RNA", at positions 524 to 776 of the family's 1533-position model. The record is from RNAcentral.